UACGAAGGGGGCUAGCGUUGCUCGGAAUCACUGGGCGUAAAGCGCACGUAGGCGGCUUUCUAAGUCAGGGGUGAAAUCCUGGAGCUCAACUCCAGAACUGCCUUUGAUACUGAGGAUCUUGAGUUCGGGAGAGGUGAGUGGAACUGCGAGUGUAGAGGUGAAAUUCGUAGAUAUUCGCAAGAACACCAGUGGCGAAGGCGGCUCACUGGCCCGAUACUGGCGCUGAGACGCGAAAGCGUGGGGAGCAAACAGG
This 253-nucleotide ribosomal RNA is filed under the name uncultured bacterium. Its description in RNAcentral is "partial 16S ribosomal RNA". It matches the Rfam family "Bacterial small subunit ribosomal RNA", at positions 524 to 776 of the family's 1533-position model. The record is from RNAcentral.